GACGAACGCUGGCGGCGUGCUUAACACAUGCAAGUCGAGCGGUAAGGCCCUUUCGGGGGUACCACGGAGCGGCGAACGGGUGAGUAACACGUGGGUGACCUGCCCUCAGCUCUGGGAUAAGGCCUGGGAAACCGGGUCUAAUACUGGAUAUGACUCCAUGACGCAUGUUGUGGGGUGGAAAGCCUUGUGCGGCUGAGGAUGGGGCCCNCGGCCUAUCAGCUUGUUGGUGGGGUGANGGCCUACCAAGGCGACGACGGGUAGCCGGCCUGAGAGGGCGACCGGCCACACUGGGACUGAGACA
This 301-nucleotide ribosomal RNA is filed under the name uncultured bacterium. Its description in RNAcentral is "bacterial SSU rRNA". It matches the Rfam family "Bacterial small subunit ribosomal RNA", at positions 28 to 326 of the family's 1533-position model. The record is from RNAcentral.